RNAcentral lists this transfer RNA (80 nucleotides) under Dreissena polymorpha. It matches the Rfam family "tRNA". From Rfam's summary of the family: Transfer RNA (tRNA) molecules are approximately 80 nucleotides in length. Their secondary structure includes four short double-helical elements and three loops (D, anti-codon, and T loops). Further hydrogen bonds mediate the characteristic L-shaped molecular structure. tRNAs have two regions of fundamental functional importance: the anti-codon, which is responsible for specific mRNA codon recognition, and the 3' end, to which the tRNAs corresponding amino acid is attached (by aminoacyl-tRNA synthetases). tRNAs cope with the degeneracy of the genetic code in two manners: having more than one tRNA (with a specific anti-codon) for a particular amino acid; and 'wobble' base-pairing, i.e. permitting non-standard base-pairing at the 3rd anti-codon position. The record is from Rfam by way of RNAcentral. Lineage: Eukaryota; Metazoa; Mollusca; Bivalvia; Myida; Dreissenidae.
GUUGCCGUGGCCGAGUGGUUAGGGCGAUUGACUUGAAAUAUGUUGGGUUUCCCGAGCAGGUUCGAAUCCUGCCGACAACG